Molecule: ribosomal RNA, 499 nt
Filed under: uncultured bacterium
Lineage: Bacteria
Description: partial 16S ribosomal RNA
Rfam family: Bacterial small subunit ribosomal RNA
Source: RNAcentral
GACGAACGCUGGCGGCGUGCCUAAUACAUGCAAGUCGAGCGAAGUUUUUCUGGUGCUUGCCCCGGAAAGACUUAGCGGCGCACGGGUGAGUAACACGUAAAGAACCUGCCUCAUAGACUGGGACAACUAUUGGAAACGAUAGCUAAUACCGGAUAAUAGCAUUAACUGCAUGGUUGAUGUUUAAAAGUUGGUUUUGCUAACACUAUGAGAUGGCUUUGCGGUGCAUUAGCUAGUUGGUGGGGUAAAGGCCUACCAAGGCGACGAUGCAUAGCCGACCUGAGAGGGUGAUCGGCCACACUGGAACUGAGACACGGCCCAGACUCCUACGGGAGGCAGCAGUAGGGAAUCUUCCGCAAUGGGCGAAAGCCUGACGGAGCAACGCCGCGUGAGUGAAGAAGGAUUUCGGUUCGUAAAGCUCUGUUGUUAGGGAAGAAUGAUUGUGUAGUAACUAUACACAGUAGAGACGGUACCUAACCAGAAAGCCACGGCUAACUACGUG